This 492-nucleotide ribosomal RNA is filed under the name uncultured bacterium. RNAcentral describes it as "partial 16S ribosomal RNA". It matches the Rfam family "Bacterial small subunit ribosomal RNA", at positions 28 to 507 of the family's 1533-position model. The record is from RNAcentral.
GAUGAACGCUGGCUACAGGCUUAACACAUGCAAGUCGAGGGGAAACGGCAUUGAGUGCUUGCACUGAAUGGACGUCGACCGGCGCACGGGUGAGUAACGCGUAUCCAACCUUCCCGUUACUGCGGGAUAACCUGCCGAAAGGCAGACUAAUACCGCAUGUUCUUCGAUGACGGCAUCAGAUUCGAAGCAAAGAUCCGUCGGUAACGGAGGGGGAUGCGUCUGAUUAGCUAGUUGGCGGGGCGACGGCCCACCAAGGCGACGAUCAGUAGGGGUUCUGAGAGGAAGGUCCCCCACAUUGGAACUGAGACACGGUCCAAACUCCUACGGGAGGCAGCAGUGAGGAAUAUUGGUCAAUGGGCGGAAGCCUGAACCAGCCAAGUAGCGUGCAGGAUGACGGCACUACGGGUUGUAAACUGCUUUUAUGCGGGGAUAAAGUGAGGGACGCGUCCCUUUUUGCAGGUACCGCAUGAAUAAGGACCGGCUAAUUCCGUG